This 9903-nucleotide long non-coding RNA is filed under the name Cucumis sativus (cucumber). RNAcentral's name for it is "long non-coding RNA (CSAT_LNC000063)". Lineage: Eukaryota; Viridiplantae; Streptophyta; Magnoliopsida; Cucurbitales; Cucurbitaceae. The record is from RNAcentral.
AACAAAUCAUAACUACUAUUGUCUCUAAUUUUUCGCCUUAACGUCUGACGCUUCACGUGGGUUGAAGAAUCGUUUUUCUUCAUGAAACCUUCCCCCUCCUUUCUGAAUUUUUUUCUUUGUCUGUAGCUGCUCACUCCCUUUGCAAAUAUCAAGGCAUUCUUCCCGAGAAUUUCCGACCUCACUUGCGGCUUCAUUGCUAUCCACGUUCCGACAAACUCCCUUUGUGCCUUAGGCCGACUACCGCCAACGCACCAUGUCUCCAUCUCCUCUUCCUGUAAUUGGACUUUUCGACAAUCCAUCUUCUUUUUUUUCUGGCUACCGGUGACCGACUCAGAAUCUUUCCUCCGCCGCGGUUUCUAUUUGUCCCCGCCUCGAUUUUCCGUCACGACCCAAUAUGUUUCCAUUCGCCAGCCUCUCUAUGAUCCCUGUACUAAUUCCAUUGCCAUUUUCUUCCUUGUCGUUACCCAUUCUAUCUUACUCCGAUGACCUUCGAAAUUCCUUUAUUCAUCUUCUUCAUUGCCUAGCUUCCUCAUCCCUUCCCUACUUUGAUAUAACUCGCAUGCCACAAAAGAAAGGCAAGGAAAGUAACGUACCUCAACAAAAUCUUGGCCUAUAUAUAUGAUCAGCCUCUCAAUGUUGCCACUCCAAUGAGCCGUUUCUUCUAUUUUCACAGAUCGUAUCCAGGUCGACUUGUUCCACAUAGGUACUGUUUGAUUCUUCUUUUUGUUUUCUUCACUACCACCAAGUAUCAAUGAUCGCUUCCUCAAUCGUUUCUUUGCCUUCCUUCUCAUCCAUAGUGUUUGCCUCCUUUCCCAUGCUUCCGCCUUCUCUGCUCGGUGUUUCCAUUUCCACCAAGUGUUUGUCUCCGACCACCUCACCCUUAGUCGUCGGCCAUGGGAAUACAUAGUUAGAUUUGGCUUCCUCUUCCCUUCAUCUUUUUCAUGGUCGUUCUUCAAUUCCUUCAUCUACAAGUCAUUGUUCCAUUUCUGUUUUUCUUCAACUUUAAUUUCUUCUAGUUUCUUCUCCUCUCUUUCUUUAUCUCUUUGCAGCCUUCUUUAUCUCUUUGCAGCCCUUCAGAAAGCUUUUGAUGUAUUGUUUUAGCACUCCUCUGUAUUCUUUCUGCCUUGCAAUCAACAAUCCAUUUCUGCAUAUGCUCCCAUGUCCAUGGAGUUUCUCCCCUCUCAGCCGCCUCAAGUUUGCAUCAGCAGCCCAUUUAAGUGCUUGCUCCCAAGUCCCUCUCUCAACUGCGGUCGAGUCUUCUUCCAUCUUUCCUUUCAUUUUCAACACCGAUCCCUCCGACGUAGCAGAUUCUUCCCGUCGGCAACUAACAUUGCUUUCUCGUAAUUCCUCUGCUAGCCUUUCGAUGCUUUUGGACAACUCCAGAGUCACAUCUUUAAGUUCCCUAAUGUCCUUCUCAUUCUUCUCCAACCUCUCCUCCAUUUUUUUUUUUGCAUCCAAGCUUGUGUCAUCCCCAAGAUGUUACGGCUCUGAUACCAAUUUGUUAGGAUCCCACCUAACAAGGAUUACCUCAAGAAGAAAAGAUGAACUCAAGAAUACUAAAAAACAUCCAAACAUGAAAUAUAUAUUAGAAGAUCUUAAUAACAAGUAACAAGUAAACCCUAGCCUUUUGAGAGGGUUAGACUCUCCCAAGGUUCCCUUACAAGGAAAACUUUCUCAAAAUUCUUCACACCUCUCCCCAACUCCUCUCCCACUAUUUAUAACAAAAAGACCUAACCAACUUACCAUCUAUUUACUAAUAUGACCUUACUAACAACCAUUUUCAUUUUCUCCUAAUAAUCCACUAUUUUUCUAUCUAGGGUCCUUACAGGAACCUCCCCUUUUCGAACCAGAUACAGUAGAAAGAGUUUACGAUCUUGCAGCUUUUAACUUCCAUUUUUUGACUCCCCAAGUUUGAUGUUGCCGAAGAGAGGGGAGACGACAUGACCGCUUAGUGAGAUGAGAGGAGUCGUGACCGGAAAGCCGUGGCCGGAGUUGAGGGAGAAGAGGGUGGGUGAGAGGAGAGAGGAAAGAGAGGGGAGAGGGGAGAGAGGAGAGAGAAGAGAGAGAACUUACCUCAAUUUGUCAUUCAGACACUCGCAAAUAUUAAAAAGAAAGUAAUUGUUGCUACUCUUUUACCAAUGCUAUAAGAAUAAAGUGAUUAUUAGAUUGUUAUCAUUACUUGUCAAACCAAACAGCACCUUCAAAUUUGUAAUCUAUAAAAAGGGUAAGAAAAGAAGGGAUAGCUAAACCUUUUCAUAUCAGAACUACCCUCUCUUUGAAUUUUCAUCGUGGCUCCAUCGCUGACACCUGGUGGUAUUACUAAGCUCAUUUUUUUAAUUGAUUGCAGUUGACCACCGCCACCACAGCUUCGACAUAAAUUUGUUAUUUUCUUACCAUCACCGCCACAUUCAGAACAUAUGGACACCUAAGAUGUAACAGAGCAAUGAGCUUAAGGUAAAUCAACGAGGCUAAGAGUUGGAUUUUUCAUAGUACUUUUUUCUAAAAACCAAAAUUCAUCUGAACACGUGAAACUUGUAAGAAACCAAUUGAGAGAUUGAAGUAAAUUAUUGAGUUCUAGCGUUACACUGAAAAGUUUGAGCAUUGAGCUCUUUUUAUUAUAUCAGUGAAAAUUUUGUUUCAUUUAAAAAUAAAAAAGCACUAGUGUUUUUUAGUGGUUCAUCCACCAGACUUGGGUUCUUGUCUCCUUCAAACUCCUUAAAACUCAAGGACACAGAUGUACAACCUACGGAACAGAUCCUGUUCAAGUAAGGUUGUAAAAAUCGGGUGUUACAAUCGCAAAUCAGUUUUUCAUUACCUUCCCUCGCAUCUACUACAAUUGGUAAUAAUAUGUAUAAAAGAUUAAACAUAUCCUGACCAAGUAUUUCUUGAUUCAUAGAAUAGAUUACUUUUUGUAUUAUCUUUAUGUAGUUUGAGACUUUGUCCCAUUUCAUUAAUUCAAUCAAAAUCAAAUUUCCCUUUCCAAAAAAAAAAAGAAAGAAAGGAAAUAUACCUGAGACAUCAUUCCAAAUGGUGUUUUCUGAGUUUUGACCACUCCUCCUCUUCCAUGACAGUUAGCACACAAUUUUAUGCAACUAUUUGAUUUAGCACCCGUACCAUCACAAUUUUCACAUGUCUCAAAAAAAGAAAACUGAAUUGUCUUCUCUCCUCCGAAAACUGAUUCUUCAAAGCUUAGGUGCAAGGCAUAACUGUAAGGUUAAGAGAAGGAAAAAGAAUGUCCAAGUCAGACUAUUUGUAAGCACACAUCAUAUAAUUUACAUUAACAAAUAUGAAAGAAUACACAAACUCAGUUCAAGUGAAACCAUGACAAGAGCAAGCUUAGAUAAAUGGUCAUAACGUAGUAGGAUUAGAGUAAAUUAGGGUAUCUUGGUCAAAUCUUUAAUUUUUUUAACAAGAAACAAGCCUCUUUGUUAGGAUAAUGAAAUAAGACUAAUGCUCAAAAUACAUAGAAAACAAAAAGGAACUGAAAAUAACUAUGGAACAGCAGGGUGCCCGAACAUGUCAGCUAGGUUGACACCCCUUUGCACUAACAUCUCCAUUUCCAAAGGAACUUAAAGAUCUUAACAACACAAUAUAGUAUAAACCGAACCUAUAAGAACUUUCUACCAAAAACAAAUCAGAAACUAAGCAAACAAAGUACAAGCUUAGAACACAAUUGCAUAGAGAAUAAUAAUAGGCUAAAGAGAGGUCCACGGCCAGCUGUUACAAUGAAAUCUUCCGAGCCUUCAAGAUUCUCAAUUCAGAUAACAUGGUCUGAAUUACAUGGAGAGGAAACAACACCAAUUUAAGUUAUUUUCUUUACUAGAAUAAACAGCAAAAGCCAUUUAAAGAGAGGACCAAAGAGAAGCAAACAAAGCGAGCUGUCUUAAAUCUGGAAAACCAAUAACCUGCCAGCACUGCCUUCACCUCAUUGCUUUAUCGAAGACCUUUAGUUACUGAACUGCCACUUUGGAAGACCUUUAGUUAACACAUCCGCGACUUAUUCUGUUGUCAAAAGAUAAGGGAUGCAUAUUAUUCCUUGAACAAUCUUCUCCUUUAUGAAGUGUUUAUCAACUUCAAUAAGUUUCGUCCUAUCGUGAAGGACUGGAUUGUGGGCAAUGGAAAUUGUUGCCUUGUUAUCACAAAAAUGUGCAUAGGAAUUGUUUGAGAAAAUCUCAAUUCUUCCAAGAGUCUUCUUAUCCAUAUGCCCUCACAAAUACCAUGGCCUAAUGCCCUGAAUUCUGCUUCUGCACUACUUGCAACCACACUCUGUUUUUUACUUUGCCAAGUAACAAGAUUUCCUCCAACAAAAAUGCAAUAUACCAGAAGUGGAUCUUCUAUCAGUUGUGCUACAUGCCCAAACAGUAUCAGUGUACAUUUCAACAUUUAGGUGGUCAUGUUUUUUAAACAAUCUGCCUUUAAAAUGUUCCAAAUCGAACUCCAUGCCUAGAAAAUGUUUUGAAGCUCCUAGGUCUUUGAUUUGGAAAUCAUCAGCUAAUUUUUUCUCCAUGAAAGUCAAUCUUAUCUUAUCAUUGUCUGUAAGAAUGAUAUCAUCAAAACUACCAAAACCAUAACCUUGUCAUUUCUCGUAUGUUUAUAAAACAUAGUAUGAUCAGCUUGACUUUGAGUAAACCCGCAGCUCAUGACUGCUUUUUAAAACAUUCAAACUAGGCUCUAAGAGACUGUUUAAGACCGUAUAAUGAUUUCUUUAACUUGCACAUUUUGCUAAUCUCGAUAUCUACCUCAAAUCCAGGUUACAAGUCCAUAGAUACCUCUUCUUCAAGAUCCCCAUUGAAAAAGACAUUCUUAACAUCUAGUUGAUAAACAGACCAGUCAAAAUUUACUGCAACCGAUAGCAAAAUUCUGAUGGAAUUAAUUUUAGCAACUAGAGCAAUUGUUUCUCGAUAAUAAACUCCAUGUCUGAUAAAUCCCUUAGAAACCAAUCUGACCUUGUACCUUUCAAUGCUUUUUUUUUAAAAGAAUACGAGUCUCACUAUUAUUAAUAUUAAAAAUAGAGAGACAAAGCUCAAUGUACAUGAGGGGCAUACAAAGAGCAAUCGGGGGAGGGGGAGGAUCAGCAGGCGCACCCAAGCAUCUCAACUAGAUUGACACACCCUUAGCGCCCUCAUCACAUCCAUAAGCGAAAAUAAAAACCCACAUAACAGGUUAAAUAAAAGCAAUACAGCAAAACAAAGCCAGAAAGAUGAUAAAGCAAGGCAGCAAGUCGAAUACAGAGCAAAAAUAAUAAUCCUUGAUUGAGCAAAAACUGAUUGGAGCAGAAGGCUUGAUCUGGGUGGACAAGAUAAACUAGAACUUCAAUACUACCAUCAGCUUUACAUUUUACGGUGAAUACCCACUUGCAUCCAUCUGUUUUCUUGUCUUUUGGUAGUUCAACUAUGUCCCAUGUGCAAUUUGUUUUCAGCACAUUCAUCUCUUCCAUUACUGCUAAUUUCCAAUUCAAAUCAUUUAGGGCCUCCUGUAUAUUUCUUGGAACAAACAGGUUGGUUAUUUUGGAUGUGAAGCAAGACUGUCAACCAAUUUGUGAUAAGAAAGAUAGUAUACAAUGGGAUAUUUGGUCUUUCCUAUGGGCAAUUGGAAUGUCAAGGUAAGAGACAUCAGGUAAGGAAUUUUGAGAAGAAGACUAAGGAAAAUUAUGAGAAGAAGUAUUGGGAGAACUAUGAGAGGAAAAAUGUAUGUUACCUGAAUCUACAGAAUCAUUCAUCGGAGAAAUAGAUUGGUUCUGUGAUAGAUCAACUAUCUGUUCUCAAUUACUUUAAGAUAAGUUUCUUUUGGUAUAAACCCGAAGUUCAAGUUUCUAUAGUGUUCCUCCCCCUGAAGAAGAACUUUCCACACUUGGCAUCAAAUGAUUAGAACUCAUAAUUUCAGGAUCAGCAAUGUAUGGAGUAGGUGAAGUGUUCCAAAAAAUUAUCUUCAAAGUUAGAUGUCUCCCCUAAAGCGAAUUUGGGGUAAAAAAAGGGACACGUCCAUACUCUCAAAAACUUUUGUUCGAAGGGUCACAACAUUUGUAAGCCUUCUUAUGAGAGACAACCUACAAAAAUGCAUUUAACGGCGUAGUUUAGUUAGUGUAGGGUUAGGAGUAUGAACAUAAACAGUCCACCCAAAUACUUUUAUUGGUAAGUCAGAAAGCAGACUAUCAGUAGGAAAGAACUCUUUGGAGAGGUUCAGAGAUGAUUUAAAAUUCAAAACCUUAGUUGGCAGUCGGUUUAUGAGGAACGCAAGCGGUAAAAACCUGCAUCACCCCACAAAUAUUUUGGUACAUGCAAAGAAAACAUAAGAGCACGGGCAACUUCAAGUAGAGAUGUCCAUUUUACCUGCGGGGCCAGGAAUCCCUGAAUACACGAGGAAUGGGGGAGGGAGUGGGAAAUUUUUUUCCCCAUUAGCAACACAAGGCCAGGAACGGGGAAUACAUUCUCCAACCCCAACCUCGUCCCUGCCCCGAUUAAAAAUAUAAUUAAUUAAAUAAAAAUAUAAAUACUUAUUUAUUUAAUAAUAUGUAAAAGAGUAAAAAAAAACUAUUUUGAUAUUAUUCAUUUCCUUCUUUUCUCUAUUCCAUUUCUUUAUUUUUUUUCCUAAUUCCAAUUUUUAUGUUGUAAACUUGUAUAUGAAUAUGUUGUGCCUUGACUUGUGAUUUGUAAACUUUUCUUUAGAAAAAUAUAUUGUUGUGUCUAAUGUAAUUGAAGGCUUUGUUAGAAUACUUAUGAAUUCAUCUUUGAUUUUUUUUGUAUGGAUUUUUUAAUUUUAUAGAUGGAUUUCUAAAUGUAUCUUCUAAUAGUUGAAUUUUUUAUUUUUAUAAACAAAAAGCUAGAAUUUAACAUUUUAAUGGUUUUAAAUAAGAAAAUUGAUAAUAUUCUAUCGAAAAUAAAACAACAUUGACAAUAUAUAUACAUUUCAAGUAAAUAUGGAUUGGAAAAUGAGAUUAAACUUUUAAAAAAAUAGGAAAUAUUUCCCCCCGAGGAAUCCCCACCCCGUUCCCCGCAUGGAAAUUAAUGGGAAUGGAAAAUAGGAUAGGGGCGUGGGGACGGGGAGUGGCAUCCUCGGCCCCGCCCUACCCCAUGGACAUCUCUAACUUCAGGUAAAUGUUUAUUUUUUCACUAGCAAUGCUAUUUUGCAAGGAGUAUCUUGACACGUAGCUUGAUGAAAAAUACCCUUAUCUUGGAAAAAAUUGGUCAAUUGUUCGUUAAAGUAUUAAGUACCAUUAUGAGAGUGAAGAAUGUAAAUUUUAGCUUGAAAUUCGGUCUCAAUAUACUGUAAAAUCGAACAAAAACCUCUUUUACCUCCGAUUUUUUUAAAAAAAAAAGAUAAAACCAGGUUAAACGAGUGUGAUCAUUUAUAACGGUAACAAACCAAUGUUUACCGCAAAACUUUAGAUGGACUCCACAUAUCAAUAUGAAUUAAGUAAAAAGGUGAGGAAGACUUGAAAGGUUUGGGCAAAUAUGUGGAUUGAUGAUGCUUAGCAAAAAUACAACUUUCACAUUGAAAAAUUGAACAAUCAAGAUCUUUAAUAAAAUUGGAAACAAAUACUUCAAGUAAAAGAAAUUUGGAUGCCCUAAUCUACGAUGCCAAAGCAUUACAAUUUCUUUAACAGAAGAAGAAUGUACACUACUUAAACCCUGAGCUAUUUUAUGACUACCUGAAACUUUAUCAAAGUAAUAGAGACCACCAAUCAUCUUACCAGGUCCAAUCGUCUCUCGCGAAUCCUGAUCCUGAAAAGUACAAUGAGAUUCACAAAAGACAACACGACAGUUAGCAUCCUUUGAGAUUUUACUAACAGAUAACAAACUGCAAACUAAUUUUGGAACAUGAAGGACAAAAUGUAACAUGAGUUUUGUUGUUAAAGGAUAGUUCCUUUUCCUGCAAUAGAGGUGAAACUACCAUCAACAAUGCGAAUUUUUUCAUUGCAAUAUGCAGAAGAGUAUGAACCGAAAAGACAAGAGAGACUAGUCAUAUGAUCUGAUGCUCCGGAAUCUAUAAUCUCGGAGAGGAAUUAAGGCAGGAGAAGGCUUGAGAACUGUGCCAAGGAAACACUAGGAUUACCAGAUGAUGAAUUAGUCUUUAACAACUUCAAGAUUUGAUUAAUUUGCUAUUUAUUAAAAGGGUUAACGUCCACAACAAUAGCAUUAGAGGCAUGUUGAUGAGAAUUUCUCUCUCCUUGUACAUAACUUUUCCAAUUAGCAGGUUUUCCAAGAAAUUUCCAACAAGUUUCACACGUAGGUCGAAGUUUAUUGCAAUAAUCACACCAAACACAAGAUUUCCCAUGUGGAUUAGUCAGAUGCCUUCAAAGCAUUAUUUUCAGUUACCAAUGCAGAACUCUCAAUUGAAUCAAAACGUUUUUUUGCCGCUCAUAACAUUCCUGUGACUUUCUUCCCUGCGAACUUCAGAAAAAACAUCAUUAAUUGAUGGAAGAGUAGUUUUACCAAGUAUCCUACCUCUAACCUCAUCAAACUCAACAAGGAGUUUCUAAAUACAACCAUCUUCUACAAUUUUUCGGUAGUGCUUUUGGUCUUCUAUAGACUUCCUCUCAUAUAUAUUAGAGAGAUCAAGGUCUUGCCAAAUCCUUUUUACAAAGUGAAAGUAUUGUGUAAUGGAGUUGCCUCAUUGUCGUAUAUCAUCCCGUUUCAGAUUCAACUCAAAUACUUGUGAUUGGUUGCCCAAAUCAGAAUACAUCUGAGUAACAUUAUCCCAUAAUUCCUUGGUUGUAGUGUAGCACAUGUAGAUACUGCUAAUGGCUUCGGCCAUGGAAUUUACUAGCCAGGUCAUAACCAUGGAGUUUUCAGCGUCCCACCCAGCAAACGAAGGAUCGGCAAGGCUAGAAGUGGUUUUUUCUCUAGUAAUGUGACCAAUCUUCCCUUGUCCACGAAUAAACAUCCAAACACUAUAGGACCAACAAAGAAAAUUAUCCAAUUAAGUCGAAUGGUAGUGAUUUGGACAAUGGGACUAUUGGCUAGGGUGUGGUUGUCUAAGACUUUGGUGGCAAUGAGCUUGGUGUCUACCAUAUCGCUAAAGAAAACAGGAUUUCUAGAAAGAAAAAAACCAAAAUAAUAAUAAUAAUAAUAAUGAAGAGAAUCCGAUGGAGAAUAACGACUAACAACGGCAACAGAAUGCGGUUGGACACAGCGAAAGUGACUCAGACUUGAUCGACCGAUAGAAAGAGGCGCCUCCCUAAAUGAUCUGUGAAAAAAAGGAGCAAAAAGUAGCUAAACUCGAUUCCCGCGGCGAUUCCAGUAGAGAAGUGGUGGUCGACGAGCUCAAAAAAACUGACGACAAUGGUCGAACGACGGCACAAACUAGGGUUUUUUUUUUUUUGAGAAAAUUAGGGUUUUUAGGGUUUCACUUCACUGAUACCAUGUGUAAAAAGGUGCUUUCUUUUAUUUCUCUUAGAAAGAAAAGGGUUUUCUUUAAUAGAAGAAAUACCCAAUACAAAAUAGGAAAAUACAAAUAAGAAAAAAGUAAUUACACAGAUAGAUCUCAAAUACAAUGAAAAUAUAAACAAAAAAAGAAAAUAAUGAACAAUUAGGAAGGAUUAGGAAGGAUUAGGGAAGUAAAUCCCUACGUGACCAACCAGUUAGAAUGACAGAGAAGGGUGAUUUGGUUGGGGUAGAGCUUUAUGGAUGUGUGUCCCUUUUUGUGAGAAAAUCAAUGUAGGGGGAAACUCCAGCCCUUCCACGCUGGCUGGGAGCUUUAAUAAUUGCUCUAGAAUGCUUUUGUUGAUUAUUGAAUACACAAGGGAGGCACCUUUCUGUCUCAUCUAACUUCUUUUUUUUUUUUUGAAAAGGAGAUCGGCCUCGAUAUUAAUACAGUCUCAUGCUAACUAAUAAUGAAAGUGUUCAAGAAUAAAUACAAUAGUAAAUAUACAUAACCUAUUAGUUAAAGCUUUUGAACCCAGAG